RNAcentral lists this long non-coding RNA (955 nucleotides) under Capra hircus (goat). RNAcentral describes it as "lncRNA (ENSCHIG00000004760.1)". The record is from RNAcentral. Lineage: Eukaryota; Metazoa; Chordata; Mammalia; Artiodactyla; Bovidae.
GGAAACUCCAACACUCUAUUGCCUUCUUUGUGAAGAGCAAAUUCUCCUCACUAAAGGUCAUUCAUAAUUCUGUGCCAUUUUCCAAGUAGAGCUUUACUUCAUACUUUUUCCCAUUUCACAUACUCUGCUUCUGUCAGGCUGGUAACUCCUUUUCAUCCCCCAAACACUCUGCUUCGGGCCAAGUCCAUGCUUUCUAAAUAUAAUCAUCUUCUUCAGAAUGGUCCCUCUCCUUCCCUGCACCUCGCCAGCCGUGAACCUAUUGUCUAAAGCCAAAACGGAACCCCACUUAGCUCUACAAGUUCUGACACACCCUGGUGUUCUUUCCUAAAUUCCGACAGCAUUUAUAACCAGAAUCUCAUGGCUUGCUCCUCAUUUUCUCAUGAAAGAAGCACUGGAAUCAAAUUCAGAUAACCUGCAGGCUUGCUCACUGUUGAACCAGAAAGCCCCAGAAGCUUCUUGGAGGCCAGGAGAAGCCAACAAUCCAUGCCUGUAGGAACACAGUGAUGCCAGAAGCAUGAAGUUGUCUGACUGUUUCCAUUUCACUCCUUGGGAAGUUGUAACCUGGAACGCCAUGGGAAAGCAGUGCAGGACCGCCUGCCAAUGCCCAAAGCUGGUUCUGGAAGCCCGAGAUCCACACUAGACUGUGAGACACACUGGAACUGGGUCCAGAUGAUUCAGUCUGGGCUAAGGCACGCAUGGAAUAAAGCAGAAGUCCGCUCUCCAGAGUAUGGUUUCUGAGGGAAAUAAAUACAAGUAAAUAUAGCAUGAACUCCUUAUUACCAAAUUCAGACUGAAACUGAAGAAAGCGGGGAAAACCACAAGACCAUUCAGGUAUGACCUAAAUCAAAUGCCUUAUGAUUAUACAGUGGAAGUGAGAAAUAAAUUUAAGGGCCUAGAUCUGAUAGAUAGAGUGCCUGAUGAACUAUGGAAUGAGGUUCGUGACAUUGCACAGGAG